AUUUAUUUUUUUUUUCUUGUCCUCUCAUGACAGUGAAAUUUCACGAUUAACAGAAAGGUAUACAAAUCGAUUUCAAAAUUUUUAAUGGAAAAUAACUUAAUGGACAUGAUGAAAAAGGACAAACAUUUUUUCGCGAUGAGAGAUAUAUUUUGAACCUUUGCUUGGUAUAGAAAGAAUCCUAUUGGGACGUUAGAUGGAUUACUUGAAACUUGAAAUCUAUGGAAACGGAACCUUAACAGACGUUUUUUUUUAUUGUACAGACGUCAAUCUUUUCUCAUUAGAUAUGUGAAUGGAAAAAUCAGAAUUUGCAAGUUUUCCAUAUAUGUAUGUAUCUAUCUGUCUGUUAAUUUGUCCUUGACUUGAAAUUCUGGAUAAAAUCCUUAAUGGAUCUUGA
Long non-coding RNA from Episyrphus balteatus (marmalade hoverfly), 394 nucleotides. RefSeq lists it as uncharacterized. The transcript has 2 exons. The record is from RefSeq and is a predicted model, not a curated record. Lineage: Eukaryota; Metazoa; Arthropoda; Insecta; Diptera; Syrphidae.